Molecule: long non-coding RNA, 1214 nt
Filed under: Gallus gallus (chicken)
Lineage: Eukaryota; Metazoa; Chordata; Aves; Galliformes; Phasianidae
Source: RNAcentral
AUAACAUCUAAACAGGCUGUUCUUCCCAUUUCUAUUACUUCAUCUUAGUCUUGUUAGGAACAGGUGGGCAACUCUUGUAGACCUCCACUGAUAUCUCUUCUCUAAGUAGACUUAGGUUUUGUUUCUGCAUCUGUCACUUGGCGAAUAUAGAUACCAUCUUCAGGAUGUUCAAUGUCAUCCAUUUCAUACAUAUAUGAAGAAGCUAUUGCAAGGGUGGUUCCAUCGUUGCUGAAGGCAAGUGAUGCUAUGCUUGUGGGAUACCGAUGGAACUGACACAGCCGCUUUUUGUUAAAUGGAUCCCAGAUAUUUACAAACCCAUCAGAACCUCCUGUAGCAAACGUGUUGUGGACAUUAUGGAAAGAAAUAGCAUUAACUGGAUAAAUCUGCUCAAUGUUGUUCUCUUUCAAACGAUGACACUUGAAUGCAUAUUUCUUCUUCUGUAUUUCAGGACUUGGAUCCAAAUACUCCACUGCAACACGACCUUCAAUGGAACUUAAAACAUAACCCUGUUUAUUUGGGAACGCUCUGAUACAGCGGGUCUGGUAUUUCAGGCUCGAUUCUCUUCGCUGCUGAACGUAACCCAUGUUGCGCAAAUCCCACACCAGCACCCUGCGACCUGCAGUCCCCACAAUCAGCCUAUCUCCAGACACAGACAGCGUGUACACCUUUUCUGGCUGAGAGAAGGUUCCUGCAUUGCAAGGUGUUCUGGGAUCCCACAGUUUAACUGUUUGAUCCCAGCUGCCAGUCACCAUGACAUUCACUUCUGGGCAAUACUCAACACAUCUGAUAGGUGCAUCAUGGCCACCAACAAGGUUUUCUUGGUCCGUGUUUAGAUCAUGCAUUUUCAGCUGCUGAUCUAAUCCUCCACUCCAUGCAUGGGUAGGAUCAUAAAAAGCACAGUCAAGGACAGCUCCUGAAUGUUGAUAUUUGAGUCUCAUGCUGUUGGCAGGAACAUCAUAGAGACGGACUGUAGUGUCCCAGGAUGAAACAAGCAGAAACUGAGAGGUAUUUGGACUGAACUUGACCGAUGAAAUCCCAUCAUCUGGAGUUUGAUUGAGUUUGAACUCGUUUGAUCCCGUCAUCGUUUUCAUAGUACACGGCUUCUUCCCUCUCUCGAGGCCACACCAAGGAGAAACGUUCUUCACGCAGCAGCGCGGGGGAGGAAGGCAGCCCGGUCCCGGAGAGUCCUGUCUCACCCCUCCGCCCGCCGCGGC